GACGAACGCUGGCGGUAUGCUUAACACAUGCAAGUCGAACGAGAAGUCUUUUAUUGAACCUUCGGGGGAUAUAAGAGACAGACAGUGGCGAACGGGUGAGUAACGCGUGGGCAACCUACCUAUCGGAGCGGGAUAGCCUCGAGAAAUCGGGAGUAAAACCGCAUAACGCGGAUAUAUCGCAUGAUGAAUCCGUCAAAACUCCGGUGCCGAUAGAUGGGCCCGCGUCUGAUUAGCUAGUUGGUAAGGUAAGGGCUUACCAAGGCAACGAUCAGUAGCCGGUCUGAGAGGGCGAACGGCCACACUGGAACUGAGACACGGUCCAGACUCCUACGGGAGGCAGCAGUGGGGAAUAUUGCGCAAUGGGGGCAACCCUGACGCAGCAAUACCGCGUGAGUGAAGAAGGUUUUCGGAUCGUAAAGCUCUGUUAUUGGGGAAAGAAA
RNAcentral lists this ribosomal RNA (440 nucleotides) under Pseudoramibacter alactolyticus. RNAcentral describes it as "bacterial SSU rRNA". It matches the Rfam family "Bacterial small subunit ribosomal RNA", at positions 28 to 451 of the family's 1533-position model. Lineage: Bacteria; Bacillati; Bacillota; Clostridia; Eubacteriales; Eubacteriaceae. The record is from RNAcentral.